This is a long non-coding RNA of Ostrea edulis (European flat oyster), 3424 nucleotides long. RefSeq lists it as uncharacterized. The record is from RefSeq and is a predicted model, not a curated record. The transcript has 2 exons. Lineage: Eukaryota; Metazoa; Mollusca; Bivalvia; Ostreida; Ostreidae.
UGUUUUAUAUGUACAAUGAGGAUAGGUACAGCUUUUAAUGUUUAAUUUAUUUUCUAUGUAUUAUGUGUAUAACAUUCUGUUGUAAGGUAUAUGCAUUGUAAAGCACCUUUGAGCGUACAUAGUGUAUGAAAAGGGUGCUAUAUAAAUAUGGUAUUAUUAUUAUUAUAUAUAUAUAUAUAUCCCAUAUAUAUGGUACUAUAUGAUUUUUGCAUUAUUGAAAGAACUCGCACCUCAGCAGUAAGAGAUAAAAUAAUAUAUAUAUAUACACACACACACGAAUAUCUCUCCAUGUAAAACUUUGAUUUCAUAUUGUGGCCCAAAUCUCACAACUUGAAUCUGCACUACCUAAAGAUGAUUCAUCAUGGCCUUGUUGUUCUUGAAAAGAACAUUUUUCAAAAGAAUUUUUCUAUAUAUCCCCAGGUAAAACUUUUAUCCCUUUUGUGACCCCAUCCAACCUUUGGGGGUCAUGAUUUGAACAAACUUUAGUCUAUCUGUACUAUUUGGAGCUGCUUGCAUAUCAAUAGGAGUAAUCUUAGCCCCGCUAUUCUUGAGAAGUUUUCAAAAGAUUUUUUCUUAUUUUUCACCAUAUAAAACUUGGAUUCCCUAUUGUGGCCCCAUCCUACCUUCCAAUGGCCACAAUUUGAACAUACUUGAAUCUACACUAUUUGGAGAUGCUUGCAUAUUGAUAUGACUCAUCAUGGUCUUGUUAUUCUUAAGAAGAAAAUUUAUAAAUGUUUUUCCUACAUUGUAUAAUCCCCAUGUAAAUUUUUUUUAUCCCCUAUUGUGGCCCCAUCCUACCCCCAGGGAAAUUUGCACAAACUUGAAUCUAUACUAUAUCAGGAUACUUUCAUGUAAAUUUCAACUUUUGUAACUCAGUGGUUCUUGAGAAGAAGAUUUUUAAAUGAACCAACCCUAUUUUUGCCCUUCAUUUAAACAAACUUGAAUCCCCUUCACCCAAGAAUGCUUGGUUGAAAUUGGUCCUGUGGUUCUGGAGAAGUUGAAAAUGUGAAAAGUUUACACACGACAGACAAAAACAGAUUGCAAUAGGUCACCUGAGUGACUCAAGGGACUUUAAAAAAUCACAUUUGCGACCAAGCAUUCUGGUAAUCAACAGUCUGACUGUUGAAUGACUGUUGACAGUCUGACAUUCUCAAAUUAUUUCCACUUGAUGUGUUGCCAUUCUCACAAUAUGACCAUGUUUCACUAACAACAUUUUAUAAAUUUCUCUUUGUAAUGCCAAAUCCACAUAUCACCCUUGAGAUAGCAAGUGAAUGGCCAAACUGCACAGUCAAGGUAAUUUUAUACUUAAAUAAGCAUGCUGUUCUGUUUUCUGUUCGUGCAUGUACAAGAAAUGACUUAGUCAGACAUGGCUUCAUUAUGAAAGUGUGUACUACAUUUAUUUCAUUCACCUUACAAGACAUUUUCACACAAGAAAUGUGACUAAUGUAGUUUCUUACAUGAAUUUAUAAACAUAAUAAAAAUUACAUAAAUUUAUAUCUAAUUCAUAAGGGCUAUUCCAGCAAAAAAAAUAUGGGGGGGAGGGAAGGCACUUUAUUUUUAAGACAGCCACCCAUACAAUUAAAUUUUCCUCUGCUACCACCACCCAUACAAUUAGAUUCUCCCCUGCCACCACCACCCAUACAAUUCAAUACUUUCAUUUAAGGUAACAAAUGGAUCAACCAUAUGAUAUUUUAGAACUUAAUUCUAGUUUAUAUUUUUAAAAAUGCAAAAAAUAUAAACAAUAAAAUGUCUUUCUUUGUUGUUUCAUCGGGAGACGAAAGUAGCAAUCAUUGCAGAAAAAAUUACAUAUUUUGGUUUCCAAUGCAAUUUUGGUAGGGAGAAAAAAAGGAUGAUCUCAGCAUAUAAAACGAAAGAAUAAAUGCAAUUGAUUUUGUAUACUCUGGAAACAUGCGAGUUGUAGAAACCUAAGCUCUGUUUGCUUAUUAUAAACGAACAGUUUCACUAAUGAUGUGGGAUAUUGUCAUAUCAUUUCUGGACUAGAUGUGCAUGUCCUUUUUACUCAUGUCAUGAUCUGGGUGCUUGUUAAUUGUUGAAAUAACAAGAAGUUUUUUUUUUAAUGAUAUAAAACUAAAUAAAAUAUGAAUAUAUUAUAUCACUUUAAAUUUAAAUUCACAUAUAUUGUUACUCUCUUUAUUGCUUUUAAAAGACAAGUGUCUUAUUACAUCAGUUACAAUAUGUAUACUUAAAAUGGCAUUGUAUAGUGGUGUACAAAUUCAAGCAAGCAACGGAGAACUUUUCAACGAGUUAGGUUUUCUCGCAACUUAAGUGCAAGACAUAGAUAUUUCCCUAAAUUACAAAGUGUAUGCAUAUAGAUUGUGACGUUUUUCCUUUGACUUUUCCCCCUACAAUCUCUCGUAGGCCUACAGGAAACUCGCGAAUAUUCCAUUUAAAAUUUCAGUCCCAAGCAUAAUAUUUACCCGAUUUAUAUCGCAAUCAGGCAAAUUUUCCACUCUGUUAAACGUAAUGAUAUAACAGGUGGGAGAUUUCAUAUCCGAAUUACCCCGCACAUCUCAAAGUCUGUCGAAAUUCACACCUUCGGAAACAACGGUCCUGAUUCCCUGAUCCUUGAUUUUGUUAAAUAAACAACAACUCGGGUUUUGGUAAUUAACCUCACACGACGCUGCAUGUUAAUUACACGUUAACCAAUUGAUAGCUUGGGUAUAAUAAUUGAUUCAGAGUGCCGAUUAAAGAAGAUCACCUCCGAUCUAUUACCUGUGUAUUUUAAAACGAAAGUGUUAGGAGCGAUAAUUCCCAGAAUAGUCAUGCUCGACUGAAAUCGAAAGUAGGAAUCGCGUUGUAAUCGAAAAAAUGGACAGUCGUUUCUUAAAGGUGAAAUUACACGAAAAGGUUGUAAAACUCAUGAUCGUUGGUUGCGUCAGACAGGUGGUCGUUUAGGACAGGUACAAUAGGUUGGGUAACGCCUUGGAGGGGAAAGGUUUACGAAUAUCAAAGUUGUCAGCAUAAGGAGAAUAUCUACUACAACAUGACUUUCAGGUGAAACACUAUACCACUAUAUCUUCAUGAAAUGGAUCCUGUGCUACACCUCUUACCCAUGUGAUAGAUGUGGAUCCUCCUCUGGAUUUGUUGUGAAGAAGACGGGGGCAUUUUCAAAACCACAGCUACCUAGGCUACUGAUACUCGUGUUACUUCCUCGAAUACUGAAUCGGCGAUGGUCCGAGUCUAUAAAAACAUCUUAUAAAGAUAAUCAUUACACAUGGAAUACUGAAUCGGUGAUGGUCCAAGUCUACAAAAACAUCUUAUAAAUUAUCAUUACACAUGGAAUACUGAAUCGGUGAUGGUCCGAGUCUACAAAAACAUCUUAUAAAGAUUAUCAUUACACAUGGAAUACUGAAUCGGCGAUGGUCCAAGUCUACAAAAACAUCUUAUAAAGAUUAUCAUUACA